Molecule: microRNA precursor, 60 nt
Organism: Castor canadensis (American beaver)
Lineage: Eukaryota; Metazoa; Chordata; Mammalia; Rodentia; Castoridae
Source: Ensembl
GCUCUGACGAGGUUGCACUACUGUGCUCUGAGAAGCAGUGCAAUGAUAUUGUCAAAGCAU